Long non-coding RNA from Ictalurus punctatus (channel catfish), 524 nucleotides. The record is from Ensembl. Lineage: Eukaryota; Metazoa; Chordata; Actinopteri; Siluriformes; Ictaluridae.
GGUAUUGGCAACGUCAGACUCAUGCUCUUUUCACACUACUUGUGUUUUUUUAGGUCAAGAUUUUGUGAAGUGUGCUUUAUCCUGGUCAGGUGCAGUGGAUCUGGAGCCUCUCCUAGGAACACUGGAGACGAGGUGGUAAUACACCCUGGAAGUGAUGCCACUCUGUCGUUCACUAGAUGUAUGCAUCGGGACUGGGAUCUCACAGGAUUCACCAGGAGGGAAACUUAAAUAUGUUAUGUAGCUUCUGAAGGGCGGUACUAAAUGAAAUAAAUUAAGAUCUUUAAACAAAAUAAUAAUAAUUCACACCAAUUAUCCUGUUCAAUUUUUUUUGUUGAGCUUUUGAACGUUUGCACCUUUUGUAACAGUUGUGUCCCUCAGUUGUCCUCAGUGUGAAAAGAUGGAUCUGAUCAUCAUAUAGUCGCUGUUGGAAAGUGUUCAGAUAUGUAGAAGAUGCUGGAAAAUGAAAGAAUGUGCAGGACCUGGAGGAUUUCUCUGAAGAACACUAUAAAGCACCUAUAAAGCAC